RNAcentral lists this ribosomal RNA (1802 nucleotides) under Tomato big bud phytoplasma. RNAcentral describes it as "bacterial SSU rRNA". The stretch from base 1 to 1481 matches the Rfam family "Bacterial small subunit ribosomal RNA". The record is from RNAcentral. Lineage: Bacteria; Bacillati; Mycoplasmatota; Mollicutes; Acholeplasmatales; Acholeplasmataceae.
CAUGCAAGUCGAACGGAAACCUUCGGGUUUUAGUGGCAAACGGGUGAGUAACACGUAAGCAACCUGCCUUUAAGACGUGGAUAACAAUUGGAAACAGUUGCUAAGACAGGAUAGGAAAUUAAGAGGCAUCUUUUAAUUUUUAAAAGACCUUUUUCGAAAGGUAUACUUAAAGAGGGGCUUGCGCCACAUUAGUUAGUUGGUAAGGUAAAGGCUUACCAAGACGAUGAUGUGUAGCUGGACUGAGAGGUCGAACAGCCACAUUGGGACUGAGACACGGCCCAAACUCCUACGGGAGGCAGCAGUAAGGAAUUUUUGGCAAUGGAGGAAACUCUGACCGAGCGACGUCGCGUGAACAAUGAAGUACUUCGGUAUGUAAAGUUCUUUUAUUGAAAAAAGAAAAAAUAGUGGAAAAACUAUCUUGACAUUAUUCAAUGAAUAAGCCCCGGCUAAUUAUGUGCCAGCAGCCGCGGUAAUACAUAAGGGGCGAGCGUUAUCCGGCAAUUAUUGGGCGUAAAGGGUGCGUAGGCGGUUUGAUAAGUCUAUAGUUUAAAUGCAGUGCUUAACGCUGUAGCGCUAUAGAAACUGUCUGACUAGAGUUAGAUAGAGGCAAGCGGAAUUCCAUGUGUAGCGCUAAAAUGCGUAAAUAUAUGGAGGAACACCAGAGGCGUAGGCGGCUUGCUGGGUCUUAACUGACGCUGAGGCACGAAAGCGUGGGGAGCAAACAGGAUUAGAUACCCUGGUAGUCCACGCCGUAAACGAUGAGUACUAAGUGUCGGGUUUCGGCUCGGUACUGAAGUUAACACAUUAAGUACUCCGCCUGAGUAGUACGUACGCAAGUAUGAAACUUAAAGGAAUUGACGGGACCCCGCACAAGCGGUGGAUCAUGUUGUUUAAUUCGAAGAUACACGAAAAACCUUACCAGGUCUUGACAUAAUUUUGCGACAUUAUAGAAAUAUAAUGAAGGUUAUCAGAAUUACAGGUGGUGCAUGGUUGUCGUCAGCUCGUGUCGUGAGAUGUUAGGUUAAGUCCUAAAACGAGCGCAACCCUUGUCGUUAGUUGCGACCACGUAAUGGUGAGCACUUUAGCGAGACUGCCAAUGAAAAAUUGGAGGAAGGUGAGGAUUACGUCAAAUCAUCAUGCCCCUUAUGAUCUGGGCUACAAACGUGAUACAAUGGCUGUUACAAAGAGUAGCUACAACGUGAGUUUUUAGCCAAUCUCAAAAAAACAGUCUCAGUUCGGAUUGAAGUCUGCAACUCGACUUCAUGAAGUUGGACAUCGCUAGUAAUCGCGAAUCAGCAUGCCGCGGUGAAUACGUUCUCGGGGUUUGUACACACCGCCCGUCAAACCACGAAAGUUGAUAAUACCCGAAAGCGGUCGCCUAACUUCGUCAGAAGAGGGAGCCGUCUAAGGUAGGAUCGAUGAUUGGGGUUAAGUCGUAACAAGGUAUCCCUACCGGAAGGUGGGGAUGGAUCACCUCCUUUCUAAGGAAACAUAGAAUCAUCAUCUUCAGUUUUGAAAGACUUAGUUAGGUUUUUCUAAUUUGAAAAACUUAGUUAAGUUUUUCUCAUUUCUUUUAUUUUUUGGUAUCCUGGGCCUAUAGCUCAGUUGGUUAGAGCACACGCCUGAUAAGCGUGAGGUCGGUGGUUCAAGUCCAUUUAGGCCCACCAAACGUUUUGCUAAAAAAAACGUGUUAUCAAAAAAAAGUUCUUUGAAAAGUAGAUAAACAAGAAAACAAUAGCCAUUUUUAAAGGAAGUAAGGGCGUACAGUGGAUGCCUUGGCACUAAGAGCCGAUGAAGGACGA